RNAcentral lists this ribosomal RNA (474 nucleotides) under uncultured bacterium. Its description in RNAcentral is "bacterial SSU rRNA". It matches the Rfam family "Bacterial small subunit ribosomal RNA", at positions 915 to 1391 of the family's 1533-position model. The record is from RNAcentral.
GGGGGCCCGCAAGCGGUGGAGCAUGUGGUUUAAUUCGAUGCAACGCGAAGAACCUUACCUGCUCUUGACAUCCACGGAAAACUGCAGAGAUGCGGUUGUGCCUUCGGGAACCGUGAGACAGGUGCUGCAUGGCUGUCGUCAGCUCGUGUUGUGAAAUGUUGGGUUAAGUCCCGCAACGAGCGCAACCCUUAUCCUUUGUCGCCAGCGAUUCGGUCGGGAACUCAAAGGAGACUGCCGGUGAUAAACCGGAGGAAGGUGGGGAUGACGUCAAGUCAUCAUGGCCCUUACGAGCAGGGCUACACACGUGCUACAAUGGCGCAUACAAAGAGAAGCGACCUCGCGAGAGCAAGCGGACCUCAUAAAGUGCGUCGUAGUCCGGAUCGGAGUCUGCAACUCGACUCCGUGAAGUCGGAAUCGCUAGUAAUCGUGGAUCAGAAUGCCACGGUGAAUACGUUCCCGGGCCUUGUACACACC